CUGCUGAAUAGGCCCCAGUGUGUGAUGUUCCCCUCCCAGUGUCCAUGUGUUCUCAUUGUUCAAUUCCCACUUAUAAGUGAGAUCAUGUGAUGUUUGGUUUUCUGCUCUUGUGUUAGUUUGCUGAGAAUGAUGGUUUCUAGCUUCAUCCAUGUUCCUUCAAAGGACAUGAACUCAUUCUUUUUUAUGGCUGCAUAGUAUUAUGCCACAUAUUCUUUACUGACCACCUACUCUGUGCCCAAAUUUGUACUGAGUGUUCUGAUUAACAGAAUGAUAUAAAGUACCUUGCAAACCCUGAAGAGUAACACAUAAACCAGCUGUUUUACAACUUAACUAUGAACAUAAGCCAUAAUAAAAAAAAAGGCCACUUGAAAGUGCAAGAGUGAAAAAUAAACAAGUAAUCAAGCAAAAUGGGAAUGUAGAGAACUCCACAUUGAGACAGUCAGGAUAAGGAGGUUCUAGGAAGUGGGAUCCCAGUGGGUGGCAUGUUUAGGAAAGAACUUAUAGAAGAAGUAGACCUGGAAUUAGGGCUUGAGGGGACCAUGGAAUGUGGGUACACAGAAACUGAGGACAAGUUUUAGUUCAAGUGAUAAUGGGACCAAAAGCCAAAAGGGAGGUAGAGAUGUAUGUGACUACUUAAAGGAUGGUGGGUAGUAGUUCUUUGAUGGACAGGAUGGCCAGCCACAGGCUGCAAUUGCAUAAUCAAAGGUAGAGAAUUAUGACCAGUCUGUAAUGUGGCAUUUUCGUUACUGUCAGGGUUUAUGGCUCAGACAAGUCCAGGUUUCUAUGAACAUGAGAAAUGUGGUAGUGCUGCGGGCACACCCAAGGUUUCCACCUUUAAAAACUGAUCUUCAAAAUGUGAAAGUUAAUCUCAGCUGCUGGAAGGCUGCCAUGGGAGUUGAAACACUUGGAUGAGUCACAUGACAGAUAUGCAGUCAGCCACCUCCAGCUCACACACAGCUCCAGAAGUUGACGUAAUAUUGAGGGCAGGAUGUGCACUCUAGUAAGCAUGAGCUGUAGGUGGAAAUAUGGAAAGAGAGAUUCAGCUGGGAACAUUCUUCAUUUAAGAGGCAAGGACAAGGAUAGCCAUAAUAACCUCUCAGUGUCCCAGGGGUGUCAUGAAUAUCUGGAAGAACACUCACUCCAAAUAGAGAGAUACAGGGGAAGAUUAGACAUACAGAAGAGGAGUAGGCAAUGUGACCAUGAAGACAGAGAUUAGAAUGAUGUAGCUACAAACGGAAGAUCACCGGCAACCACCAGAAGCUGGGAGAGGCUGCUGACACCUUGAUUUUAGCCUAGUGAAAUGGAAUUGAGAAUUCUGACGUCCAGAACUGUGAGAGAAUAAAUCAUUGUUGUUUUAAGCUACCAAGUUUGGUGGUAAUAUAUUACAGAAGCCACAAGAAACUAAUACAAAAUGAGAAAACCAUAAACUUUUGUAAUUAACAAUAAAUUUGCUUGCACAGAAAUAUUCAAUGAAAUUUUGUUGAAGUAUUACAUUAAACUAAAACAGAAAGUUAUGGUCUAUUUUUCCACUGGGAAUCUGAGGCAAGACUCUUCUUUGGAAGACAUGAACAAAUUAAUUUGUUUCAAGGGUUUAAAUAGCCUCAUCAUCAUCUGUGAUCUGGCUUCAAUGCAGAACAGCCAUCUACUUCACUGUGCUCCUAAUUCAUAAAUGGCUCAAGACACGGAAAUUAAUUGUUUACAAUGUUAAUUAUUAUGUCCAUUAUGUAUUCCAUUUUCAACUUUUUAACACAAACAUGUCAAUAAAUUUACCUAUGUUAAUUUAAAACUGAAGUUCCUGAUUCCUGCCAAAUGUACCAACUUGAAUAUGAGUUUUCUAACAGGUCUGAGAUGAACUUCAACAAUUUCAGAAAUAUUCUUUGUAUGUAAGCUUAUUAAUUUUGCUAGGACAACAUUAAACUUUUCAAAAUUUUUAUGACACUAAAAAAUGCAUUUUCUAGAAAUUUGCCUAUCAUAACCUAAUGUCUAAAACAUAUUAUUCAUACUAAAAUUUUUAAUCAAGAUUAUAGAUUUAGCUAACUCCAAUUUUUUAAUCUGUGUUUUCAACAGUUGCAAUAGAAAAAAACCAAAUAUUCAUGUUUUCUUCUUUAGUUUUCCUUGUAAUAUCUAAACCUAAAAAUUCUAAUCAGUAAAAUUUUAAUUAUAUUUAUAAAUGUAAAUGCUUGUUCUUGUUGGAAAACAUAUCUUUCUGUAUUCAUCACAUUUAAAAAAAUAAACAUACUAUUGUGAGAAGCUUUUAAUUUGGGGGUAAUUUUAUCACCCAAAACAUUUUAGAAAUAAACCCUCCAGCAUAUUAAAAUGUGAAUAUCAUUUUUUAGCUAAAUGUUGUUUAGCUUAUUAACUUUUCAUUUGCUUUUUUCCUGUAUUUUCUACAUAGUAUCUUUAUGAUUUGUUUCAUAAAGAUGACUGAAUGCAUAUUCUCUAGGCACAGUUUUGCUUGCAUAGGAUGCAUGAAGAACCACUUUUCACAUCCCCAGAAAAAUAUACCCAUUAUAAUAUAUUUCUUAAGUAAGUAGCUACUCACUCUGUCUUUCAUCCGCCUCUCCUAUCCUUUGAUGGAAAUUUGUGUUCAAAAUUAGAUAAAAAUAUUUUAUUUUCUAUUUAGCACUAGCUUAAGAAAAAACUCACAAGUAUAAUAAUAAAAUACAACUGAAACAUAGUGUCACAGAGUGGGGAGUGGGUGACACACUGGAGAGAAAAUGUUCUAGCUAAAGAGGGAAGCCUCAGGCAAUGGUUACAGGUGGGAUCUGAGAUACAGUGUUGUCAGAGCUCUUACUUCCAAAGAAGCCAGAGGCCGGGCGCGGUGGCUCAAGCCUGUAAUCCCAGCACUUCGGGAGGCCGAGGCGGGUGGAUCACGAGGUCAGCAGAUCGGGACCAUCCUGGUCAACAUGGUGAAACCCCGUCUCUACUAAAAAUACAAAAAAUUAGCUGGGCACGGUGGUGCGUGCCUAUAAUCCCAGCUACUCGGGAGGCUGAGGCAGGAGAAUUGCCUGAACCCAGGAGGCGGAGGUUGCGGUGAGCCGAGAUUGCGCCAUUGCACUCCAGCCUGGGUAACAAGAGCGAAACUCCGUCUAAAAAAAAAAAGAAGCCAGAAUAUGAGAUUUCUAAGAAACCUGGUUUUCACAUGUUGGCAAUUGAAUGAAAACACCCACCAUCAGGGGUGGGGGAGGAAAGGGAUGAGAGAAGCAGGAAGAAAUAUAUAAAAUAGAAUGAGAUAAAAAUAAACAGGCUAAGAAAAAAUUGUAAAAAAAAAAAUAAUGUGACUUCAAAGUUUAAGUAAUUAUUUGGAUAAAGUAAAGUACAUUAUUGUUAUAACAGAAAAUCUGAACACUGACUGGAAAUUGUUCUGAAAAUUUUUCCAGGAAUGUAUAAUACAAAGACAGGUGAAUGAUGUGAUCAUAGAAAAGAUGACGGAUUUGGAGAAUAAAGAUAAUAGGUGUCUGACUUUGGUUUCUGUGUCUUGAUCAUGGUCUCUAAUUUUGAAACAAGUGUGACAAAAAAGAUAAUUGAAAAGUAAUAAUAAUCAAAGGCCCACUGAUACAGGUAUUACCAGAAUGGAUCAACCAUAUUCAAGGCACAGUUGAUAGAUAUAUAUUUACAUCUAGAUGAAAGCAUAGACUACAUAAAAGAAAAAGUUCUAGAGGCAACUAGAUGGGAGAGGAAGGGGAAGAGGAGAAAAAAACAUGCUAUAAUGGUGAUAAAAUAAGGUCACCCAUAUUUCUCCUCUAAAAAACUAAGCACGGAAAUAAAUUCAAGAUAAAAAUGUGCAAAUUUUAAAAAUAUGCUACAAGUCUAUUAUACUUAAUCAAAUAUGUUCAUUCAGAUGACAGAAAAAAAUGUUUGUACAAGGAUAUAGAAAUUCUACUCUGUAUUUUACUUGGGAAAAAAACUUACUGAAGAUGUAUUUUUGAUGUGAUGAAUUACAAAUAAUGUCAUUAAUGGUUUUUAAAUAGUAACUAUUUUACUUAUUUAAAAUGUCUUCUCAUGCCCUCCAAAAAAGUAAGAAAAUAAAAUUAUUAGUUUUAUUACAUGAUUGCUUUGUGCCAAAUCUGUAUUUGCACUUCACCUACAGAAUCUCUAAUGCUUACAACCCUGAAAAUCAAGAUUAAUAUCUCGAUUUAAUAUGAACAUCAAGAACGGAAAAGUCAUCAAUUAGCAAACAGUAUUUAUACCAGCUAAAAACUGAGAUGAUACAAUUAUUGUUGUAAUUUAAAUUCUAAAAGAUUAUUAAUGCUAAAAAUUGUUGCUCAAAGGAGAGGAUGGGAAAUGUAACCAGGAAUAGUGGUUUAAAAUAAAGUCCACAUUAUAUUAAAUAUGAACUUGACAUCGAAAGCCCUGGAUUAUUCUCCAUCUAUUUGGUACUGGACAAGAAAGCAACAGCAGCAGAUGAGGGUAAGAGGGAACACAAGGAAGUGCCAUAUGUGAGCUUAAAUUGGGAGCCUUAUGCAAGGAGUCCUGAUUGGCUAGCUGGCCUCUGAACAGCCCAACCCAUUGGCUGUUACAAGCAGCUGCCCCAUAAGAGAGGACUGAAGCCCUGGGAAGAGUUCUGGUGACUAGACUGGUUGGUGGGUGUUGGGUAACUGAGAGUGGAGGUAGAUGGAUGGACAGGGAAUGGCAGAACUCAGAUUGCAAAAUUAUAGGUCUUGAGGUGCACACCUCCUAUGCACAUCUAGAACAUUUUUAGGAGCAUGAAGCAAAACCUAAACUUUUGCUCUGUUUCCUUUUCUUCUCCAAAGCAAUAUUACCACUCAAUUACCACUUAUGAAGCCAGAGCACAAUAGUGGGUAAAAAACCACACUACAAAUUAGCAACUUACACUGGAAGACCAACUAACAAAAUGCACAGAACAGAUUUUCAAAAUAGCGUAUUAUUCUCAGAGAGAUAGGAGGAGAUAUCAGAAACGUAAUGAAAUAGCAAGCAGUUAUAAAGAGAAUCCAGUUGGA
Molecule: long non-coding RNA, 4961 nt
Filed under: Callithrix jacchus (white-tufted-ear marmoset)
Lineage: Eukaryota; Metazoa; Chordata; Mammalia; Primates; Cebidae
Description: lncRNA (ENSCJAG00000070867.1)
Source: RNAcentral